UCAGUACGGUCGGAAAUCGUACGUAGAGUGUAAAGGCAAAAGAGAGCUUGAUUGCAAGACAUACAGGUCGAGCAAGGAUGAAAAUCGGACUUAGUGAUCCGGUGGUUCUGCGUGGAAGGGCCAUCGCGCAACGGAUAAAAGCUACCCUGGGGAUAACAGGCUUAUCUCCCCCAAGAGUCCACAUCGACGGGGAGGUUUGGCACCUCGAUGUCGGCUCAUCACAUCCUGGGGC
RNAcentral lists this ribosomal RNA (232 nucleotides) under Clostridioides difficile. Its description in RNAcentral is "partial 23S ribosomal RNA". It matches the Rfam family "Bacterial large subunit ribosomal RNA", at positions 2322 to 2553 of the family's 2925-position model. The record is from RNAcentral. Lineage: Bacteria; Bacillati; Bacillota; Clostridia; Peptostreptococcales; Peptostreptococcaceae.